UAUUAAAUCUAGGGGUGGAACAACUUUGACACAAAGUAGGCGCGGUGAGGAAGUGGGCACGGAAGGCAAAAUUUUGACAGCCUAUUACAUUGUUUACGUUUUGUGUCAAAGAAAAGCAAUGAAAAGUAUGACCGAAACAGUCGUGCUUUGGUGAGUGGCAAACAACAGUGGCUGUUUUUCUGGUUUUUCUACCCCGUAAUGCCAAAACGGAAAAACAAUCUCCUAGCUCCUCGAGCAAAAGCCGUGAAGCCCGAUUUCCGAGCACUGCCUCCAACAGCAGUGGCUACAGCAGCAGUUCCUACUCCUCAACGCCCUCCCUACUGAAGCAGAAAGUUAAACUGGAACCAUUGCCGGACGCUUCGGAGUUGGUAGAAUCGCUACCAACCAUUUCUCCCAAUUAUCGCCCGAUUCCGCUGAACCAGGUCGUGAUGGAUUGUGUAUUUUCCAACAACUGCAAGGCUCAGCGGUCGAUUCUGACCGAAGGAGAAACCCUCGGCCACAGCAUGUAGUCCAAAAAUCUUCGCACCAAAGUUUUUUCCGGCAUCAAAACCUUUACUGGAAUCGUGCCUAGCCUGUACGACCUGUGCAUUCGACUCAUAGAAGCUGAAACAUAGAGCUGCUGGAUUGUACCGGCGGAAUUCCGUUCGAAAUGCUCAAACCGGUCCUGGAACGUGCCUCCGCCAAACAGCUGGAAUAUCUGGAAGAAGUGAACCCGUACCUGUUAGAGGACACUGACAUCCUUUAGGAGCAGCACUGCAAACGACUCUUCCGAAGCCAAACACGAAGGGAAGAAGAGUGCGAAUCAUGGCUGGAGAUGUACGCUCGUUAUUCAAAAGAAAGAGAGGUAAAGCUGCAGCAUGAACCGUCUGACGGCCAACAUCAGAUGGCCCAGGUAGAGCAGACAGCAGCGGUCAGCGUAAGUGUCAACCUGCGACAAAAAUACCUCGUCCAACUGAUCAAACCAGAGUUAUCCGCAUCACUUGGAUCGAACGACAGCCAAAAAUCCGAAGGCGGAGAUGCAUUGCUUCAGAAAAACAUUGCAUUUUUUGCCAGUGAUUUGAUAAGACUAAU
This is a long non-coding RNA of Uranotaenia lowii, 1071 nucleotides long. RefSeq lists it as uncharacterized. The transcript has 3 exons. The record is from RefSeq and is a predicted model, not a curated record. Lineage: Eukaryota; Metazoa; Arthropoda; Insecta; Diptera; Culicidae.